This 1126-nucleotide long non-coding RNA is filed under the name Struthio camelus australis. RNAcentral's name for it is "lncRNA (ENSSCUG00000013859.1)". The record is from RNAcentral. Lineage: Eukaryota; Metazoa; Chordata; Aves; Struthioniformes; Struthionidae.
GGCAGCCCUCCCUGCGCCUCUGUGCCGCAGGUGCUCCCUGGGGUUGUGGGCAGGGGGCCCUUGUUCGUAGGAGCUGCCCCAUGCUGAUGGCAUCCAGCCUUCCCCGGUGUGAUUUGCCCCAUCCUGGUGGGAUCUGACCUUUCCCACUGGAGUCUGCCCCAUUCUGGUGAGAUCUACCCCUCCCCAGCAGGACCUGCCCAUGCUGGUGGGAUCUGGCCUUUCCCGAUAGAUUUUCCCCAUUCCAGUGGGAUCUGCCCCAUCCUGGUGCGAUCUGGCCUUUCCCAAUGGGCUUUUCCCCAUUCUGGUAGGAUCUGCUUCCCCAUUCCAGUGGGAUCUACCCCAUCCUGGUGGGAUCUGGUCUUUCCCAACAGGACCUGUCCCUUCCUGGUGGGAUUCCCAGCCCUAGCAUCUGGGGAGGAUGGGCAGCAGGUUGAAAAGCACUAGAGCAGCUCUUGGAAGCAGGGAUGUGGCAGGUGACCGCUUGUGAUGUGGUGGCCUUUUAUGCUUGUGGACACGUGUUCUUGGGACAGGGUGUUGGGGUGCAGCACCUGCCAUAGGGUGCGGGCAGGUCCCAGGUGCUGGCUUAACAUAAUAAGUAAGAACAAUAGAAAGUAGGCACUCGGGUUUAAAACCACGCGUCUGUUAGUGGCCAGCCUAAGCCUGGUGGUUAUGCUCGGUUGAAAGCUGGGUGUAAAACAGGCCUUGAAGAGCAGCACUUGCUCCGGGAUGAAAGAGGGGAAAAAGAGCGAGAGCUGGAGACUGCCUUCCUUCCUGCAGUGCAUUUAUCGUGGCCGCAGCAGCCAGAGAAAAGGCCGCGUAACAGAAGCUGCAAACGUUCACGAAGAUGCAUUUUUCAGCUGCAGAGAGUGACACUUCCCCUCUUGAGGAGUGUGCAGUGGUGUAGGACUCUCUUGGUCAAACGUUUGUCAACAUCCUUCAGAUCUUUCACUUGGAGUCAAAACAUGCUGAGUCCAGUGGGUAAUUAUGCCCUGGGAAGCGCUGCUGAACUCUGCUGCGUUUUGCAGGAGUUCCUGGUGGCAGAAUUUCUCUUCUUCUAAACAAUGAAUUGGAGGCAUCAUCCCCAUCUUAGUGAUGUUUUCUGCAAAUGCAGCUGGAAGAAGCGUUC